Molecule: ribosomal RNA, 164 nt
Filed under: uncultured bacterium
Lineage: Bacteria
Description: partial 16S ribosomal RNA
Rfam family: Bacterial small subunit ribosomal RNA
Source: RNAcentral
AGCGAGUGCCUACGGGAAGCAGCAGUGGGGAAUAUUGGGCAAUGGGCGCAAGCCUGACCCAGCAACGCCGCGUGAAGGAAGAAGGCUUUCGGGUUGUAAACUUCUUUUGACAGGGAAGAGCAGAAGACGGUACCUGUCGAAUAAGCCACGGCUAACUACGUGCC